GACGAACGCUGGCGGCGUGCUUAACACAUGCAAGUCGAACGGUAAGGCCCUUCGGGGUACACGAGUGGCGAACGGGUGAGUAACACGUGGGUGAUCUGCCCUGCACUUCGGGAUAAGCCUGGGAAACUGGGUCUAAUACCGGAUAGGACCACUGCCUGCAUGGGUGGUGGUGGAAAGCUUUUGCGGUGUGGGAUGGGCCCGCGGCCUAUCAGCUUGUUGGUGGGGUGAUGGCCUACCAAGGCGACGACGGGUAGCCGGCCUGAGAGGGUGACCGGCCACACUGGGACUGAGAUACGGCCCAGACUCAUACGGGAGGCAGCAGUGGGGAAUAUUGCACAAUGGGCGCAAGCCUGACGCAGCGACGCCGCGUGAGGGAUGACGGCCUUCGGGUUGUAAACCUCUUUCAGCACCGACGAAGCGCAAGUGACGGUAGGUGCAGAAGAAGGACCGGCCAACUACGUGCCAGCAGCCGCCGUAA
RNAcentral lists this ribosomal RNA (478 nucleotides) under uncultured bacterium. Its description in RNAcentral is "partial 16S ribosomal RNA". It matches the Rfam family "Bacterial small subunit ribosomal RNA", at positions 28 to 523 of the family's 1533-position model. The record is from RNAcentral.